RNAcentral lists this transfer RNA (73 nucleotides) under Vibrio phage 1.121.O._10N.286.46.C4. RNAcentral's name for it is "tRNA-Thr". It matches the Rfam family "tRNA". From Rfam's summary of the family: Transfer RNA (tRNA) molecules are approximately 80 nucleotides in length. Their secondary structure includes four short double-helical elements and three loops (D, anti-codon, and T loops). Further hydrogen bonds mediate the characteristic L-shaped molecular structure. tRNAs have two regions of fundamental functional importance: the anti-codon, which is responsible for specific mRNA codon recognition, and the 3' end, to which the tRNAs corresponding amino acid is attached (by aminoacyl-tRNA synthetases). tRNAs cope with the degeneracy of the genetic code in two manners: having more than one tRNA (with a specific anti-codon) for a particular amino acid; and 'wobble' base-pairing, i.e. permitting non-standard base-pairing at the 3rd anti-codon position. Lineage: Duplodnaviria; Heunggongvirae; Uroviricota; Caudoviricetes. The record is from RNAcentral.
GCUGAAUUAGCUCAGUUGGUAGAGCAGUUGCCUUGUAAGCAUCAGGUCGUGGAUUCGAAUUCUGCAUUCAGCA